Molecule: ribosomal RNA, 300 nt
Filed under: uncultured Pyrobaculum sp.
Lineage: Archaea; Thermoproteati; Thermoproteota; Thermoprotei; Thermoproteales; Thermoproteaceae
Description: bacterial SSU rRNA
Rfam family: Bacterial small subunit ribosomal RNA (bases 51-300)
Source: RNAcentral
UAGAACAGUGCGCGGGAGGCGGGGGAAAACGGGGGUGGGAAGGGUUGUUCGGAAUGACUGGGCGUAAAGAGGGCGUAGGUGGUCAGACUAAGUCAGAUGGGAAAUGUCUGGGCUCAAGCCAGAUAGGUCAUUUGAGACUGGGCGACUAGAGUGUGGAAUGGGUUACUGGAAUUCCUGGUGUAGCGGUGAAAUGCGUAGAUAUCAGGAGGAACACCGGAGGCGAAGGCGGGUAACUGGGCCAACACUGACACUGGGGCGCGAAAGCUAGGGGAGCAAACAGGAUUAGAUACCCCAGUAGUC